GUCAGCCAGAGCGAGCCGCAGGACAGCUGGUCAUCUGGUCCAAGUCCUUGUGGGUGCUAGAUGUACGCGCAAGGGGGCGUGCUGCCAGACCUCUUUCGACACCAGGGUCAGAGAAACCCCAGGGCAGGAAGCUAGAGUUAUGAAGCAAGACACCUGCAUGAAGCUUAUGUAAAUCCAAGAAAAGUGAUGACAGCAGUGGCUGAGGGUGGCAGAGGUCCAAGACACCAUAUGGCUGUAUUUUUUCCUUGGAGGUGGACAGCUGCAAGAACAAAGAAUUCCAACACCAAGAAGUUUGCAACAACCAACCACACCUACUCCCCUUUUAGUGUAAAAGAAGCCUGAAUUCUAAUUCAGGUUGUGAAUAUUUUUAAGUCUAUGAGGUAUGAAGUAGACACUUUUCUAAGAGGAACAAAAGAAGACAAAGCUUGACAUUUGGAACACUGGCACCGAUGGUGAACAUUCCCAGAAAGAUCCAUCUGACAAGACACAGCAAGAAGCAGUUAGAAUGGUCGUUGCCCAUUUUCCACAAGAUUGUGGAAUGGACCUUGCAGCGGGGAAUUGUAACAGGGAAGACUCCAUGUCGGGUCUGUUUCUUUGACUUUAACCUUUGCUUUUUGUUGCCUUUGUUGUUAUAAUCCUACAUAAUGGUCUGUCUCAGGGAACCCUGCCCCUCUGUCUGAAUGUUAAACUAAAGUGGCUUUGUUCAGUUCUGGGGGAGACCACCUGACCCUGCCCACCUGUGAAUGGCUGCAGAAAAAAAGAAAUGAAUACAUCCGCUCCCCAAUGCUGGCCAAGCCAGACAAAACUAAUGGUUUUUUACUUUUACUUCCUUACCUCCUCCCCCUCUUGGUUCUAUAAGGGAAACUGGCAUCUAGACCCCAAAAAGAUGGUUUUGGGGGGACACUAGACUGCCAUUUUUUCGGAGUGCUGGUUUUCCAAAUAAAGUCACUAUUCCUUGCCUCAACAUCUCAUCUCCCGAUUUAUUGGCCUGUUGGUGAGCAGAGCGAGCUUGGACUCGGUAACAAGACUGAUGCUGAUUGCAUAAUAAUGGCCCAUGGGUGGCCUCCUCAAGGCUGUUCCUUGGCAUGUACUGGACAGAGAAGCCCCUUCAAGGUCCCUGAGGCCCUUCUUUGGGCUCACUUCCUAUAAAGGAUGGGCAGGCCAGCUUUGGGCCUCCGUAUCACUUAACACAGCCCCCAAGCAGACCUGUCAGCUCCCUACCAACCUUUUCUUUUCUGCACCCCCUUCCCGCAAUAUUUGCUGAAGCACUUCCUGCCUUUGGGCCUCUGGAGGUUCAAAGAGGAACAGAGCAGAGUCCCUGACUCACCCAGCCCCGUCCCUGCCUGGGAGUUUGGCCUUCUCUGACCCUUUGAUAAUCUGGUCUUUCCUGUGAAAACCAACUAACCACUCUCAAGAAGAUACAUGUUUGGAUUAUUGCUUCUUCUUUUUGCAAAGCUUUACAGUAAGUCAGCAAGAGAAAAACAAAUACUGUAUAUUAAUGCAUAUACAUGGAGUUUAGAAAAAUAGUACUGAUGAAGCUAGUGGCAGGACAGGAAUAGAGAUGCAGAUGUAGAGAAUGGACUGUGAACACAGAGGGAAAGGGGAGAGUAGGAUGAAUUGAGAGAGUAGCAUCGACAUAUAUACACUAUCAUGUGUGAAAUAGAUGGCUAGUGGGAAGCUGCUGCAUAGCACAGGGAGAUCAGCUCGGUGCUUUGUGAUGACCUAGAGGGGUGGAACGGGGAGGGUGAGAGGGAGACUCAACAGGGAGGUGUUAUAGGUAUACAUAUAGCUGAUUCACUUUGUUGCACAGCAGAAACUAACACAACGUUGUAAAGCAAUUAUAAUCCAAUAAAGGUAUUAAAAAAACAAAACAAAACAAAAAGAUACAUACACCCCAAUGUUCAUUGCAGCACUAUUUAUGAUAACCAGGACAUGAAAGCAACCUAAAUGUCCAUCAACAGAGGAAUGGAUAAAGAUGAUGUGGCACAUAUAUACAAUGGAAUAUUACUCAGCCAUAAAAAGGAACAAAAUUGUGUCAUUUGCAGAGACGUGGAUGGACCUAGGACUGUCAUACAGAGUGAAGUAAGUCAGAAAGAGAAAAAUAAAUAUCAUAUAUUAACAAAUUAUAUGUAGAAUCUAGAAAAAUGAUAUAGAUGAUCUUGUUUGCAGGGCAUAAAUAGAGACUCAGACACAGAGCACAAGCGUGUGGAUACUGGGGGGGGAAAGGGGCAGGGGAUGAAUUGGGAGAUUGGGAUUGAUGUAUAUACACUGCUAUGUAUAAAAUGGAUAACUAAUGAGAACCUACUGUACAGCGCAGGGAACUCUGCUCAGUGCUCUGUGGUGACCUAAAUGGGAGGGAAAUCCAAAAAAGAGGGGAUAUAUGUAUACAUGUGGCUGAUUCACUUUGCUGUACAAGCAGAGACUGACACAGCAGUGCAAAGCAACUAUACUCCAAUUAAAAAAAUUUCUUAUAUUCCUAUGGAAUUUUUGUCUACUUAUUAUAUUACUGAGAGAGGUAUUUAAAAAAUCUUCCACCUCGGUUUUUAACUUACAUAUUUAGUCUUCUACUGCUGACAAUUUUUGUGUUGUGUAUUUUGAAGCUAUGUUAUUAGUUAUACAGCACUAAGAUAGCCAACACCAGCUUUCUUUAGGUUAAUGUUAGCAUAGUACAUCUUUUUUUUGGAACUGAAUUUAUUUAUUUAUUUAUUUUUCUCAUUUUUUAAAUUUAUUUAUUAUUAUUUUUUGAGGUACAUCAAGUUCAAUCGUCUGUAUUUAUACACAUAUUCCCGUAUUCCCUCCCUCCCUCGACUCCCCCCCUGCCUCCCUGUCCCAGUCCUCUAAGGCAUCAUCCAUCCUGGAGUUGAACUCCCUUUGUUAUACAGCAGCAUAGUACAUCUUUUUACACCCUUUUACUUUCAAUCUCUCUGUAUCCUUAAGAGUUUAGGUAUUACACUGUCUUAUGGUUACCUCUUUGAAGAGAAUGUAUCUUUUUUCCUCUGGCUCUUCCUAAGUUUUUGUUUUCCGUUUUACUGUAAUAUGCAUAGAUAUGAUUUCCUUUGUUUUUAUUUUGGUGAAAUAAAAGUGUCUUAAUGACUUCUGUCCAUUUUGGUAACUUUUCAAAUGUUAUUUAUUCAAAUAUUGCUUCUGUCCCAUUUUAUCUCUUUUCCUUUGGGGCUACAAUUAAUAUUACAUAUUAUGUUUUUUCAUCUUAUCUGCUAGAUCUCUUAUGACCUUUCCUAUAGUCUCCAUCCUUUUGUCUUUCAC
Hippopotamus amphibius kiboko is the source of this 3264-nucleotide long non-coding RNA. RefSeq lists it as uncharacterized. NCBI's taxonomy places the organism in Eukaryota, Metazoa, Chordata, Mammalia, Artiodactyla, Hippopotamidae. The transcript is spliced from 5 exons. The record is from RefSeq and is a predicted model, not a curated record.